GAUGAACGCUGGCGGCGUGCCUAAUACAUGCAAGUCGAGCGAACAGACGAGGAGCUUGCUCCUCUGACGUUAGCGGCGGACGGGUGAGUAACACGUGGAUAACCUACCUAUAAGACUGGGAUAACUUCGGGAAACCGGAGCUAAUACCGGAUAAUAUAUUGAACCGCAUGGUUCAAUAGUGAAAGACGGUUUUGCUGUCACUUAUAGAUGGAUCCGCGCCGCAUUAGCUAGUUGGUAAGGUAACGGCUUACCAAGGCAACGAUGCGUAGCCGACCUGAGAGGGUGAUCGGCCCCACUGGAACUGAGACACGGUCCAGACUCCUACGGGAGGCAGCAGUAGGGAAUCUUCCGCAAUGGGCGAAAGCCUGACGGAGCAACGCCGCGUGAGUGAUGAAGGUCUUCGGAUCGUAAAACUCUGUUAUUAGGGAAGAACAAAUGUGUAAGUAACUAUGCACGUCUUGACGGUACCUAAUCAGAAAGCAACGGCUAACUACGUG
Molecule: ribosomal RNA, 497 nt
Filed under: uncultured bacterium
Lineage: Bacteria
Description: partial 16S ribosomal RNA
Rfam family: Bacterial small subunit ribosomal RNA
Source: RNAcentral